GUCCUCAUAUUUUGUUGGUGUCUUUAUGGAGACUCAUCAUGAGUAUUCUAACAUUCCUGUUUUGCUUUUUUUUGUGUGUAUGUGUGGUUUUUUAAAAUUAAUUAAUUUGUUUUUAAUAGAUGUGUUUACACAUGAACACACUGCCAUACAUAUACAGAAAGACUUUCAGACAGGCUUUGCAGACUUACAGCUCUCUCUUCUCAUGUUCACCAGCAUCAUUAACAACCCUUUCCCAUGCUUUCUGCUGUUACUGGCCUUGGUCACCAAGGAUGUUGCCAUGAGGUGGCUUUGAUCCCUUCUCUGACUGUGAGACUCCCUCACUGACUGGAGAGAUUCACUUCUCCCAGGUCUGACUUUGGUGGAUUUGCUCCUGGCUUCCACAGUUUGAGGCAAGAAGCUGUAUCUCGUGGUUCUGGAAUUGGUUGGGAAGGCGGAGAAGGAAGAGAGGAAGAAAACACAAGAGCUGAGGAGGAAGAGGUUGUCCCUGUCUAUUUGUUGAGAACAACUCACUGGCAAAUAAAACAGGUGGAAAGACUAUGAUAUUUGAGGAAAAAGAAAUGUGGAAAAUAAAUGCCAAGGAAAGGAAAUUCAGCUGUUUGUUCUGCAAGAUGGAGAGAACUGCAGAAAGAAGAUUUAGAACUGGAAGGACUUAAUGUGAUGGAUGGUACAAGAUGUUCUCUAGUCACACUGUCUUUGUACAAAUUGUUUCGUACACCUUUACCAUGACAUACUACAUAUGCACUCAAUCAGGAUACAGUUCCUCUGUAACCUCAGGAAUUUCCACCCUGUUGGGCAUAGUCUCUAAAUAGUUUUCCUUGCAAAAUUGUUGCAAGACUUGUGUUGUUCUUCUUCUCUCUUCUCUUCUCUUCUCUUCUCUUCUCUUCUCUUCUCUUCUCUUCUCUUCUCUUCUCUUCUCUUCUCUUCUCUUCUCUUCUCUUCUCUUCUCUUCUCUUCUCUUCUCUUCUCUUCUCUUCUCUUCUCUUCUCUUCUCUUCUCUUCUCUUCUCUUCUUCUCUUCCAUUCAUGCAUGGGGAGGAAAACCCAGUUGGGAGCACCAUAUGGAGACAACACAAGUUAUUGCUGUCUCACCAUUUUCUUGGCACAGAUUUCCUCUGUCAAACAUCACUUCGGAUCAGGGACCUCAUUCUGCAUUCACACUCCCCACUGCUUCUUCCUUCCUUGGAAGCAUCAGGAGGGACUUAUAAUAUUGCUACAAGGAGCCCUUUACGGGAAAACAAAUAAAUUGGGCAAUAGGCUUCAAAUAAUGGAAGAAUGAAUUAUUUCACCAUUUUAGCAAUUUCCCAGGGGGAGGGUAGAGGGAGAAAAUGCACUUAACACUCUAAAAUAUUAAAAUAACAAGAACCACAGAGGCCUCAUCCCUCUGGACUUGAACCAAACGGAAUGAUUUAGGUAGAAUGCCAGCAGAUCUCCAAGUGGCACAUUCCAUUAGGGAGUAUUUCUAUGCAUGGCAAGAGAAAUUGUCCAUAUUAAUGGUAUUAUGAACCGGCUCAGCUAAUUUGGAGUUCUUCCAUAAGGCCUAGUUUCUGGCAGAUUAGCUGAAUAUUUUUUGGAAUAUGAAUUCCUCUUUUAAUGUUGAGUUUGAUCCUGUUUUCGUGGACAAUGUUCCUGGAAAAUUACUUUCUUAAAGCUGUAUUUCAUAUAUAUAUAUAAAUGAGAGAUGUUACUCCUUUGUAUUCCUGGAACAGGCUUAAAAUAUUCUGAGCAGUAACUAGAAGGCAAUGGGAUGAAGGGAACUAUAUUUGAUUUUUCAGAAUUACUGGUUGCAUACAAAGAAAAAAGCAAACACCACUGUGAAGGUAAAAGGUCUUUCUAAGAACUUAAAUAAGAGCAUACAAAUGCCCUCCUAGAUUUUAUUUACGUUUUUGCUGAAAAUUUUAAUAGCGUGUUUUCAGUGAGCAAAAAUGGGAUUAAACUAGAAAGAACUCAU
Long non-coding RNA from Apus apus (common swift), 1947 nucleotides. RefSeq lists it as uncharacterized. The transcript has 3 exons. The record is from RefSeq and is a predicted model, not a curated record. Lineage: Eukaryota; Metazoa; Chordata; Aves; Apodiformes; Apodidae.